RNAcentral lists this microRNA (21 nucleotides) under Branchiostoma lanceolatum (amphioxus). RNAcentral describes it as "Bla-Mir-12494-P2a_3p (mature (guide))". The record is from RNAcentral. Lineage: Eukaryota; Metazoa; Chordata; Leptocardii; Amphioxiformes; Branchiostomatidae.
UGGCCUAGUUUCCUCGGAUUC